UAAAACCCAUGCCCACGUUUAUUGCAUAUUGUUAAUUAUAAUUACUUUAAUGCUGCAGUACACCUACUCAUCUCUUGAGCGAAUUAAGAUCAUGUAGUACUGUCAACAUAGACACAUAUACAUAUAUAUAUAUACUUUAGCUGUAUGUAUCUAUAUGACUAUAGAUAUAUGAUGAUUAUAUGUAUAUAUGGAUAUUGGUGCAGGCACAUAUAUAUAUAUAUAUAUAAAAGGGGAGUCGCUAGGCAUGAUGUGAGCAGCGAUGAGUGCAUUGACAAGUGAGAGAAUCCAAACAUCUUUCGGUGUAGAGACGCUCGAAAUGGCUUAAUUCACAGAGUUCCCGGCAUGUCUCUGCACUGCAAUGACCUUCCAUCAACAUCUCAUACUUGUCUUCGCAUAUCCCUUCAUGUCCGUACUCCUCGCCUAACCCCCCUGCAUUACGUACAUAUACAUAUGCAUAUACAUAUAUACAUGCACACAUACUCAGAUUCUUCCACAACAAAAAUAUUACUGUCUGAAGCUCAAAAAUAUUAGAAAAGAAAACACUACAAAGUAGAAAAUAAAUUACCUUUCUUGCGCUAGUAAAUUACAAAAACAGCAAUGUAUAUAUGCCAAUAAUAAAACUACAUAUAUAUAUAUAUAUAAUUAACUGAGAAAGAGAGAGGGAGAAAAGUAGAGACCUAAAGGAAAGGCAAUGAAGAGUAAAACCCCAAUGGAAACAGCAAUGACCUUCUUCAUCUUCAGGAUCACAACAACUAUCAAGAAACUUUGUAAUGUAUUUGAGAGUACUUAUUACAGAACAGUUUGGAGCAAAUAUAUAAAUGUGUGACAAGAUGUUCAAAAUCUCUAUAAUACUGAAUAAGGCUUAUUAGCAGCCGUUGGAUUAAGUAACUGACAUUAUGUGCUUAUAUAUGCUU
This 914-nucleotide long non-coding RNA is filed under the name Carica papaya (papaya). RNAcentral's name for it is "long non-coding RNA (CPAP_LNC008032)". Lineage: Eukaryota; Viridiplantae; Streptophyta; Magnoliopsida; Brassicales; Caricaceae. The record is from RNAcentral.